Molecule: ribosomal RNA, 400 nt
Filed under: uncultured bacterium
Lineage: Bacteria
Description: bacterial SSU rRNA
Rfam family: Bacterial small subunit ribosomal RNA
Source: RNAcentral
UACCCUUGACAUGUCCGGAAUCCUGCAGAGAUGCGGGAGUGCCCGAAAGGGAAUCGGAACACAGGUGCUGCAUGGCUGUCGUCAGCUCGUGUCGUGAGAUGUUGGGUUAAGUCCCGCAACGAGCGCAACCCUUAUCAUUAGUUGCUACGCAAGGGCACUCUAAUGAGACUGCCGGUGACAAACCGGAGGAAGGUGGGGAUGACGUCAAGUCCUCAUGGCCCUUAUGGGUAGGGCUUCACACGUCAUACAAUGGUCGGUACAGAGGGUUGCCAAGCCGCGAGGUGGAGCCAAUCCCAGAAAGCCGAUCGUAGUCCGGAUUGUUCUCUGCAACUCGAGAGCAUGAAGUCGGAAUCGCUAGUAAUCGCGGAUCAGCAUGUCGCGGUGAAUACGUUCCCGGGUC